Molecule: microRNA precursor, 79 nt
Filed under: Schistosoma mattheei
Lineage: Eukaryota; Metazoa; Platyhelminthes; Trematoda; Strigeidida; Schistosomatidae
Description: mir-3492 microRNA precursor family
Rfam family: mir-3492 microRNA precursor family
Source: Rfam by way of RNAcentral
AGCCUUCUGUAUGCGUGCUGAGAUUUCGUCACACACCAGACCACAAGGGCUGAUGAGACUUCAUACGAUAGAAAUAAUU